RNAcentral lists this unclassified non-coding RNA (243 nucleotides) under Hevea brasiliensis (rubber tree). The record is from RNAcentral. Lineage: Eukaryota; Viridiplantae; Streptophyta; Magnoliopsida; Malpighiales; Euphorbiaceae.
GAUGGCUUGGAGCUGGAUCGGCGUCGCCGCAUACUCUGCCAUAGUACGAGUUCUGGAGCUGGCCGAGGAGCAGAGGAAGGUGGUCUCACCGGAGUGUAUGAGGCCGGAUAGAAUCAGUCCGCUUAUUAGUAGACCUCCGAUGGCCACACCGAUAAGCCACGAUUUUUGGAGCAGAUAAUGUCUAUAAUUCUUCAUAUCUUAGAUUUUUUUUUUGUCUUUUUACAAAGCAAGGGAAUGAUGUUU